RNAcentral lists this long non-coding RNA (783 nucleotides) under Vitis vinifera (wine grape). RNAcentral describes it as "long non-coding RNA (VVIN_LNC003510)". The record is from RNAcentral. Lineage: Eukaryota; Viridiplantae; Streptophyta; Magnoliopsida; Vitales; Vitaceae.
CUCUUCAGUGUUUACAAGAGAAUUUAUAUAGGAAGGUAAUUUUACCCUUCCUUGGAUACUUCCUAGCUAAGGAAUUACAUGAGUGGCUGAAUACAAGGAGAAAAUGGAAAUUUAGACACAAAAAUAUCAGAAGAAAAAGAGUCGGCAAAAAUAUCCAAUUUUCGCACGUUGCAGUUCCAAUUUCGCACUUUGGUUUCAGGUGUGCGAAAUUCCCACACUUUGGACUGAGGAAUUCGCACCUUGAUUUCCAUCGUGCGAAAUUGUCCCUCAGCUUGAUGCAGUUGUCUUCCGGAGGCCAUAUCUUCCUCAUUUCAGCUCCAAAUCGUACAUGGUUUGAAUCGUUGGAUUCUUGACUUUCUGAGCUUUGAAAUGGUAUAUAGAAUGUAGAAAAUGGACUUCGGGAAUUGCUCCAAAAGUGCAAUGAAAGACUGCAGCUGUGUCCCCUGUUUUCAUCACCCUGUUUUCCUCUUCUCCAUUGUUCUUUCCUUGCAUACUUUGAACGACUAAGGCAAAGGAUUAUGAGGCUCCAAAGCUUGGUUUCUUCUUAAAUUUGAGCUUCCAAAAACUUUGCCAUGAAUUAUAUAUAUAGCUCUCCCUCAUUCUUAAAUUGCUUUGGUGAGCAUAAAGCUAUCAAAAAGCACCAAAACUUAACACAAAUUGAUUAGAAACGAUUGCAAGGGUCCCUAACAUGUUAAUUGAGUUAAAAGGUAAUAAUUACUACUCAAGGGUGCUUAAAAGAGCUAAUAACAAGCUACAAAAUAGCAUGUUUUGAGUAGUAAUCAC